Molecule: ribosomal RNA, 253 nt
Filed under: uncultured Rikenellaceae bacterium
Lineage: Bacteria; Pseudomonadati; Bacteroidota; Bacteroidia; Bacteroidales; Rikenellaceae
Description: partial 16S ribosomal RNA
Rfam family: Bacterial small subunit ribosomal RNA
Source: RNAcentral
UACGGAGGAUUCAAGCGUUAUCCGGAUUUAUUGGGUUUAAAGGGUGCGUAGGCGGCAGAUUAAGUUAGAGGUGAAAUUCCGAGGCUCAACCUUGGCACUGCCUCUGAUACUGGUUUGCUAGCGAGUAGAUGCUGUAGGCGGAAUGUGUGGUGUAGCGGUGAAAUGCAUAGAGAUCACGCAGAACCCCGAUUGCGAAGGCAGCCUUCCGGCGCCCUACUGACGCUGAGGCACGAAAGUGCGGGGAUCGAACAGG